Molecule: transfer RNA, 77 nt
Filed under: Acidimicrobium ferrooxidans DSM 10331
Lineage: Bacteria; Bacillati; Actinomycetota; Acidimicrobiia; Acidimicrobiales; Acidimicrobiaceae
Description: tRNA-Ile
Rfam family: tRNA
About the family: Transfer RNA (tRNA) molecules are approximately 80 nucleotides in length. Their secondary structure includes four short double-helical elements and three loops (D, anti-codon, and T loops).
Source: RNAcentral
GGGGCUAUAGCUCAGCCGGUUAGAGCGCAGCACUGAUAAUGCUGAGGUCGCUGGUUCGAUUCCAGCUAGCCCCACCG